CAGUAGCCGCGGGAAUACGUAGGGUGCAAGCGUUAAUCGGAAUUACUGGGCGUAAAGCGUGCGCAGGCGGUUUGUUAAGACAGAUGUGAAAUCCCCGGGCUCAACCUGGGAACUGCAUUUGUGACUGGCAAGCUAGAGUAUGGCAGAGGGGGGUGGAAUUCCGCGUGUAGCAGUGAAAUGCGUAGAUAUGCGGAGGAACACCGAUGGCGAAGGCAGCCCCCUGGGCCAAUACUGACGCUCAUGCACGAAAGCGUGGGGAGCAAACAGGAUUAGAUACCCCUGUAGUCCCUGUCUCUUAUAC
RNAcentral lists this ribosomal RNA (301 nucleotides) under uncultured bacterium. Its description in RNAcentral is "partial 16S ribosomal RNA". It matches the Rfam family "Bacterial small subunit ribosomal RNA", at positions 509 to 807 of the family's 1533-position model. The record is from RNAcentral.